Molecule: long non-coding RNA, 2401 nt
Organism: Athene cunicularia (burrowing owl)
Lineage: Eukaryota; Metazoa; Chordata; Aves; Strigiformes; Strigidae
Source: Ensembl
GUGAAGAUUGUCCUGAGAAAGUGCCUGGCCCCAGCAGCCCUUCCUCCACAUUCCCUCUCGCCAGGACCAGCAUGCCUCAUGUGCUCAGCCCCAUCUGGAGAACAUCCACAGCCCAGUGGAGUUCACCCCCUGCUCCCUCCUCGAGCCCAUGCAAAGAUCAGAGCCACAGCUGCCAGCAGGAAUGGCCAUGUCCUCGCCGGCAUCACCCCUCUCAGAUGCCCCAUCGGGAGUGGAGCAGAGCUGGGGGGACCCCAGCAGCUCAACACCCCACAGUGUGGGACCUCACAAAGAGACUGUCAUCUGGGAUCCUGCUGAAACCUCCACGCUGCUGCUGCCACCGCGGGGCCCUGGCGGGCUGGGGGGGACAGUCAACCUCAUCCUCAGUAUCGGCAAGAAGGGCGAGAAGAAGAAGGUGCAACCGGUGGCUGGCAGCGAGCAGCCAGGGCAGGAGAUGCUGCGGACGGCACAGGUGGAGGCCGGCAAAACCUCCAGCACCAAGCGGCCACCUGCCCACCGCCCUCCGGCAUCCAGUGGCGGGAUACCACCUGCCUCCCACACCCUGCCCAAGGCUGGGGCCGGCUCCCUCUUCAACAGUCUGCAGCGGCGCGAGCGGGCUGAGCAGGCCCGUCUGCUGACACUGCAGGGCAUCAUGGGCACCGGCUCCCUGCAGCCCACGCCCGAGGAGCACCAUGGCCCCAGCAACACGUGGCCUCAGAAGUGUGGCCGGAGGAAGGGGGAGCCGGGGGCAGCCACGGCUGGACCCCCACUCGGGGAGUUGCUGCUCUACGUCAGAAACCCACUGGUGCGGGAUAUCGAUGCUGAGUGCGGGGUGGCCCCUCGGGACCCCCACCUCCCUGACCUGAAAACCAUGUGCCCACGCCUUUCCCUGGGCUCCGUGCUCAGCCUGGACCUACCCCAGGACACAGUGGUCCUGGGCUGCCACCGAGGGGCUGCAACAUGGUGGGAAGAGGCGGAGGGGCAGGAGCAGAGGCAGGGCAGGGGGGUGAGGCCACAGGAGCCCACAGGCAAGCGUGGGGCUGGAUGGCAGGAGGAGGUAGAUGUGGAUGGGCACAGUCCCCAGGGGCCCAGCAAGGGGCUGGGGAUGUCCCCUAAAAGUGAGCAAGGAACAUGGUUCGAGGAGGUGAGCUUCAACCCCAGCUACAGCCAGCAAAAGGCACACUGUGCUGGGGAGGAGCACUGGAGCUCGCAGUGCCCUGGCAGCGCUGGUAAAGACCUCCCGGACUUCAGGCCAAGCCAGCCAUCCCGUGUCAGUGUACUGCAUGAGAGGGUGGGGAAGGAGGGGGGCAAGCUGGUUGCCCGGCUGGGCCAGGAUGGCAGCCCCAGCAGGGCCAAGCAUCGUGAAGCAGCAUGGCUAGAGGUCGGGCCAUCCCCUGCCAGCAUCCCUGUAAGGGCAGGAGCUGUUGCCACCACUGCCUGUGCACAAUGGGCAGCCAGCAGUGGCCAGCCCGGAGGGUCCCUGGCUUCCCCACCCACCCCCAACCAGCGCUCUGUUUUUGAGUGGGCUCUGGGGUCCCCCCAGGCCCCCAGCCCCGUGUUGGGCUCUGGGGAGGUUUGCCACCCUGCCCACAGGCAGUUUGAGGAAGAGGAGGAGGAGCUGCAGGCCAUCUGGGAUGGGGUGGGCAAGCAGCGGGCACCCAGCCUGCCAGCAGGCAGCCAUGCCCACCACCGGCCAGGGAGUGGGGCAGGCAGCCUGCCCAGCCCUGAUGCCAGUGCCAGCGGGCCUCUCAUCCUGUCGUCUGCCAACAAUGUGCUAGUGGCCAAGUUCACCCUCCCCACUGCUGCCCGGCUCCUCCACAGCCCAUCUGGAGAGAAGAGCCCCGGUGCGGGGCACAGCAGUGGUGGCAGCCCCAGCAGACAUGAGGUGUCCCCCUGCGUGGAGGCACCAGUGUCCGCAACCCCCUUGGAUGGCCCUGGCACCUGGGAUCAGCAGAAGCAUGGGGAAGAGGAGAGAGAGGGCAGCAAGGGCCCUCCUAGUAAGACGGAGUUUCAGAUGAUGGAGGGGACGCUGGAAAGGAAGCACGUGUUGCAGACAGGAGGGAGGAAGGCCAACUGCCGGGCCUGGAGCCUCUUUCACGCCGUACUGAUGCGGCAGACACUGUGCUUCUACCAGGACCGCAGGGACAGCCUCAAGAGCUCUGUGGUGGCUCUUCCCCUGAACCUCUCUGGAGCAGUCUGCACCCCAGAUGCCGAAUACACCAAGAAGACCAACUGCUUCAGGCUUCAGCUGCGGGAUGGCUCUGAGUACCUCCUGAGGGCCCCCUCCCAGCCCCUCAUGAAUGAAUGGGUCUCCAAGCUGCAGCAAAACUCAGGUUUCCCCGAAGUGGACUACUUCCAGGCGGCAGCACAGCAUGUCGAGGGCACCGGCAGUGCUGGGGGGUGA